This 662-nucleotide ribosomal RNA is filed under the name uncultured Thermoprotei archaeon. RNAcentral describes it as "bacterial SSU rRNA". It matches the Rfam family "Archaeal small subunit ribosomal RNA", at positions 140 to 805 of the family's 1478-position model. The record is from RNAcentral. Lineage: Archaea; Thermoproteati; Thermoproteota; Thermoprotei.
CUGAGGCUAAACCGCGAUAGAUCAAGAUAUCUGGAAUGGUUUUUGAUCAAAAUCUAUAUGGCCUUUGGAUUGGACUGCGUCCGAUCAGGCUGUUGGUGAGGUAAUGGCCCACCAAACCUGUAACCGGUACGGGCUCUGAGAGGAGGAGCCCGGAGAUGGGUACUGAGACAAGGACCCAGGCCCUAUGGGGCGCAGCAGGCGCGAAACCUCUGCAAUAGGCGAAAGCCUGACAGGGUUACUCUGAGUGACUUUCGCUAAGAAAGUCUUUUGACACCUCUAAAAAUGGUGUAGAAUAAGGGGUGGGCAAGUCUGGUGUCAGCCGCCGCGGUAAUACCAGCACCCCGAGUGGUCGGGACGAUUAUUGGGCCUAAAGCAUCCGUAGCCGGUUUUACAAGUCCUCCGUUAAAUCCAGCUGCUUAACAGAUGGGCUGCGGAGGAUACUAUAAGACUAGGAGGCAGGAGAGGCAAGCGGUACUCAGUGGGUAGGGGUAAAAUCCGUUGAUCCAUUGAAGACCACCAGUGGCGAAGGCGGCUUGCCAGAAUGCGCUCGACGGUGAGGGAUGAAAGCUGGGGGAGCAAACCGGAUUAGAUACCCGGGUAGUCCCAGCUGUAAACGAUGCAGACUCGGUGAUGGACUAGCUUUAUGCUAGUCCAGUGCCGCA